This 253-nucleotide ribosomal RNA is filed under the name uncultured bacterium. RNAcentral's name for it is "partial 16S ribosomal RNA". It matches the Rfam family "Bacterial small subunit ribosomal RNA", at positions 524 to 776 of the family's 1533-position model. The record is from RNAcentral.
UACGUAGGGUGCGAGCGUUGUCCGGAAUUAUUGGGCGUAAAGAGCUCGUAGGCGGUUUGUCACGUCGGCUGUGAAAACUCGGGGCUCAACCCCGAGCCUGCAGCCGAUACGGGCAGACUAGAGUUCGGCAGGGGAGAGUGGAAUUCCUGGUGUAGCGGUGAAAUGCGCAGAUAUCAGGAAGAACACCCGUGGCGAAGGCGGCUCUCUGGGACGGUACUGACGCUGAGACGCGAAAGCGUGGGGAGCGAACAGG